Molecule: ribosomal RNA, 500 nt
Filed under: uncultured bacterium
Lineage: Bacteria
Description: partial 16S ribosomal RNA
Rfam family: Bacterial small subunit ribosomal RNA
Source: RNAcentral
AUUGAACGCUGGCGGCAGGCCUAACACAUGCAAGUCGAGCGGAUGGCGGGAGCUUGCUCCUUGAUUCAGCGGCGGACGGGUGAGUAAUGCCUAGGAAUCUGCCUGGUAGUGGGGGACAACGUUUCGAAAGGAACGCUAAUACCGCAUACGUCCUACGGGAGAAAGCAGGGGACCUUCGGGCCUUGCGCUAUCAGAUGAGCCUAGGUCGGAUUAGCUAGUUGGUGGGGUAAUGGCUGACCAAGGCGACGAUCCGUAACUGGUCUGAGAGGAUGAUCAGUCGCACUGGAACUGAGACACUGUCCAGACUCCUACGGGAGGCAGCAGUGGGGAAUAUUGGACAAUGGGCGAAAGCCUGAACCAGCCAUGCCGCGUGUGUGAAGAAGGUCUUCGGAUUGUAAAGCACUUUAAGUUGGGAGGAAGGGCAGUAAGUUAAUACCUUGCUGUUUUGACGUUACCGACAGAAUAAGCACCGGCUAACUCUGUGCCAGACGCCGCGGUAA